This 376-nucleotide long non-coding RNA is filed under the name Eucalyptus grandis. RNAcentral's name for it is "long non-coding RNA (EGRA_LNC005926)". Lineage: Eukaryota; Viridiplantae; Streptophyta; Magnoliopsida; Myrtales; Myrtaceae. The record is from RNAcentral.
CAUUUUCUGAAGAAAGUACACAAUUUAUCAUCUUGUUAUGUCUGUUCUGGAACGUUUGGUAUGACAACUCAUCCUGCAAUUUUCAUUGCAGGCCUAAGUUGAGUUUUUCGCUUGCUCAUGGAUCCUUCAUGCUAGCUUCAUCUUUUAUUUUUCUCUCACUUGCAAGGCUUUCUGCGAGCGCCAGAUAUGUGAGCCACUGAAGCUUCGAACAAUUCUCAAGCCGUGUCGGGUUGUGUAAAAUUAAAGAACGCGACCUUCCGUUUCCAGUGGGUUUAUCUGAAUGUAAACUUACAUUUCCAAUGAAACAGAUCCUUGGAUUGAUCAAACCGGUCAGUACAAGUACAUUAUGACGAGGAAGAUCGGUGCGAGAUUAUGG